RNAcentral lists this unclassified non-coding RNA (256 nucleotides) under uncultured fungus. RNAcentral describes it as "partial contains 5.8S ribosomal RNA, internal transcribed spacer 2, and large subunit ribosomal RNA". Lineage: Eukaryota; Fungi. The record is from RNAcentral.
AACGCACAUUGCGCCCGUUAGUAUUCUAGCGGGCAUGCCUGUUCGAGCGUCAUUUCAACCCUCAAGCCCCGGUUGCUUGGUGUUGGGAGCCUACGGGUCACCGUAGCUCCCCAAAUUCAGUGGCGGAGUCGGCUUCACACUCUAGGCGUAGUAGAUCCUAUCUCGCCUGCAGCGGAGGCCGGUCCCCUGCCGUAAAACCCCCCCAAUUUCUCCAAAGGUUGACCUCGGAUCAGGUAGGAAUACCCGCUGAACUUAA